AUACAGAGGGUGCAAGCGUUAAUCGGAAUUACUGGGCGUAAAGCGUACGUAGGCGGUUUGGUAAGUCAGAUGUGAAAGCCCUGAGCUCAACUUGGGAACUGCAUUUGAAACUGUCUGACUAGAGUGUGAUAGAGGAUAGUGGAAUUUCCGGUGUAGCGGUGAAAUGCGUAGAGAUCGGAAGGAACACCAGUGGCGAAGGCGGCUAUCUGGAUCAACACUGACGCUGAGGUACGAAAGCGUGGGGAGCAAACAGGAUUAGAAACCCCAGUAGUCC
This 274-nucleotide ribosomal RNA is filed under the name uncultured bacterium. RNAcentral's name for it is "partial 16S ribosomal RNA". It matches the Rfam family "Bacterial small subunit ribosomal RNA", at positions 523 to 796 of the family's 1533-position model. The record is from RNAcentral.